GUCUACGGCACGCAGUAGUACUUAGACAAUCUUGGCUGCUUUUGAGAAGCUGGUGAGUAUUUGGAUGGGGCACCACUAGGAAAUUCCAGGGCUGUAGGCU
Molecule: ribosomal RNA, 100 nt
Filed under: Salvator merianae (Argentine black and white tegu)
Lineage: Eukaryota; Metazoa; Chordata; Lepidosauria; Squamata; Teiidae
Source: RNAcentral